Molecule: small nucleolar RNA, 130 nt
Filed under: Mus pahari (shrew mouse)
Lineage: Eukaryota; Metazoa; Chordata; Mammalia; Rodentia; Muridae
Description: predicted gene, 22595 (MGP_PahariEiJ_G0034054.1)
Rfam family: Small nucleolar RNA SNORA17
About the family: snoRNA ACA 17 belongs to the H/ACA family of snoRNAs and is predicted to guide pseudouridylation of the 28S rRNA at positions U4659 and U4598. It shares the same host gene together with ACA43.
Source: RNAcentral
CCUGCCCCUAGAGGUGUGGCAGGUGUGGCUGCUCUGUCACAGGAGCAUCAGUAGGUGGCAGAGACAAGAGACUAUGUCUGAGUUUGGUGUUCUGACCUAUGAACACUUGAAUGAUUAGUAGCCUAACACU